RNAcentral lists this long non-coding RNA (1251 nucleotides) under Homo sapiens (human). Its description in RNAcentral is "CFAP20DC divergent transcript". The record is from RNAcentral. Lineage: Eukaryota; Metazoa; Chordata; Mammalia; Primates; Hominidae.
ACGUGCUGCUCUGUGCGUCUGAGUGGGAGUUGCAAGUUAGUCCUGCCGCCUAUCCGCCAUCUUCAAACCCACAAUUUUUUUUUUUUUUUUUAGUUGUAGCCUUUAAAUACAUCUUAAUUAACUGAAAAGCCCUUGAAAAAGCAAGAAAAAGUCAAAGAAAGUAUUUCAAGAUAAAGGUCUCUUCACUGAUAAUUUGGGAACAACUGACUUUCCUCUAGAGGAUUUGAACUGGAGGAGGCUUGAAGUUGAACAAUGGAACUCUCAGUACCAACUUCCCUUUACAGUCUGAUCUCAGAAAUCUGACAGCCAGUUGUAUUCCCCCAGACCCUCUACCUUCACCUGUAAGUCUAAGUGGCAGGAAUUUCGCAACUCCAAAAAGUGAUGCCGAAAAAUAUUGGAGCAAUGUCUUCAAAAUUGUAAGAGUAUACACCCAACUAAACUGUUGACAAGUAGCAUAAAGGGUAGAAUAAAGAUUUUUCCCUGGCCAGGUGUGGUAGCUCACACCUGUGAUCCCAGAACUUUGGGAGACCAAGGCUGGAAGAUUGCUUGAGCCGAGGAGUUUGGGACCAGCCUGGGCAACAUAGGAAGAUUCUGUCUCCACAAAAUUUUAAAAAAUUAGCUGAGCGUGGUGGCAUGCGCCUGUGGUCCCAGCUACUCAUAGGGUGAGGCGUGAGGAUCGCUUUAAUCCGGGAAGUCAAAGUUGCAGUGAGCCAGGAUGGUGCCACUGCACUCCAGCCUGGGUGACAGAGUAAGACCUUGUCUAAAAAAAAAAAAAAACGUAUUUAUCAACUAUGGAAGUCCUCAAAACAUUUGCCUUCUUAGGAAGCAAGUAGAAGAUAUACUUUAACCAAAAUAAGGGGAUAAACCAAGAAUCAUAAGGACACUGAAUUCAGGAAACAGGGAUUAGAACACGGGAGACCUGCAAAAGGAUAUUCAGGAUGCAACUACACAAUCAGGCCUAGAACGCAGCUGACAGAGAUCGAUCGGGACACGGGGGCUCAGGAUGGAGGACUGUAGGUUAAAAAAAAAAUGGAACUCAUGUAUCUUCUGAGUUUUUGAAUCUUAUGUGCAUUCAGAAACCUACAAAGAGUCUGUGAGUAGUCCUCCGACCUUCCAUUUCUUUUUACUUUCGUUGGCCCUGUGUAAAACAAAUGUCAUUAUACUUAUCUUUUUCUCUGUUUAUGUUUUCAUUUUUCAUAUGAGAAAUAUAAUUUUCUUUUAGGAAUUAUAUAAUUAAAAAAUUACAAGCGA